RNAcentral lists this ribosomal RNA (253 nucleotides) under uncultured bacterium. RNAcentral describes it as "partial 16S ribosomal RNA". It matches the Rfam family "Bacterial small subunit ribosomal RNA", at positions 524 to 777 of the family's 1533-position model. The record is from RNAcentral.
UACGGGGGGUGCGAGCGUUGUCCGGAAUCACUGGGCGUAAAGGGCGCGUAGGUGGUCUGAUAAGGGUGUGGUGAAAGUCCGGGGCUCAACCCCGGAUCUGCCGUGCCGACUGUCAGACUCGAGGACUGUAGAGGCAGGCGGAAUUCCGGGUGUAGCGGUGGAAUGCGUAGAGAUCCGGAGGAAGACCGGUGGCGAAGGCGGUCUGCUGGGCAGUUCUGACACUGAGGCGCGGCAGCGUGGGGAGCAAACAGGG